CGGAGUAAUGCUUGGGAAUCUAGCUUAUGGAGGGGGAUAACUAUGGGAAACUGUAGCUAAUACCGCGUAGAAUCGGGAGAUGAAAGUGUGGGACCUUCGGGCCACAUGCCAUAGGAUGAGCCCAAGUGGGAUUAGGUAGUUGGUGAGGUAAAGGCUCACCAAGCCGACGAUCUCUAGCUGGUCUGAGAGGAUGACCAGCCACACUGGGACUGAGACACGGCCCAG
This 225-nucleotide ribosomal RNA is filed under the name uncultured bacterium. Its description in RNAcentral is "partial 16S ribosomal RNA". It matches the Rfam family "Bacterial small subunit ribosomal RNA", at positions 106 to 334 of the family's 1533-position model. The record is from RNAcentral.